GAUGAACGCUGGCGGCGUGCCUAAUACAUGCAAGUCGAGCGAACAGACGAUGAUCUUGCUCCUCUGACGUUAGCGGCGGACGGGUGAGUAACACGUGUAUCCCCUCCCUAUCAGACUGGGAUAACUUCGGGAAACCGGAUCUAAUACCGUAGAAUAUCUUGAACCGCAUUGUGCAAUAGUAAGAUACGGUUUUUCGGUCUCUUCUAGCUGGAUCCGGGCCGCAUUAGCUAGUUGUUAAGGUAACGGGUUACCAAGGCAACGAGGCGUAGCCGACCUGAGAGGGUGAUAGGCGACCCUGGAGCUGAGACACGGUCCAGACUACUAAGAGAGGCAGCAGUAGGGAAUGGUAGGCAAUGGGCGAAAGCCUGACGCAGCAACGCCGCGCGUGUGACGAAGGUCUUGGGAGCGGAAUAAUGUGUUACGAGGGAAGAACAAAUGUGUAAGUAAACAUGGAGGUAUUGACGGUAACUAAUCAGAAAGCACCGGCUAACUACGUG
Molecule: ribosomal RNA, 497 nt
Filed under: uncultured bacterium
Lineage: Bacteria
Description: partial 16S ribosomal RNA
Rfam family: Bacterial small subunit ribosomal RNA
Source: RNAcentral